RNAcentral lists this long non-coding RNA (3070 nucleotides) under Homo sapiens (human). Its description in RNAcentral is "novel transcript". Lineage: Eukaryota; Metazoa; Chordata; Mammalia; Primates; Hominidae. The record is from RNAcentral.
AGACUGCCUUGAAGAAAUUGAAGUUUGCAGCUUGGGCUGCUGCUCUCAUUCAUUUUAAUACAGACACGACUAACAUCUCAUCCAAAAUGUGAAACAUAGCUUUUAAUUUAGUACCAUGGGUUCCUGCAGGACUGAGUCGACACACUGGGAAAUAUGUCAAUUAAGCUUGUUUCCCAGGAAGAAACAGGGAGGUCUUGCAAACAACCCAGGAUAGAAGGAGCCCAGGUUUUGAAGGGGGUGUUCCCUACAUGCCAGAGCUAAGCACAGGGUUGGAGGCUAGGGAAUGGAAAAGCUUCCCAAUUCAGGCAUUUCUGGAAGCAGUUGUGGCUAUUUCAGGGGGAGCUACAAACACAAGGCAAAGAGUCUUUUGAUCCCACACUUCUGUGUGAGCUUCGGAGAGACAAUCUUCCGGAUCUGGUGGUGACUUUUAAAAAAAGCGUCUCUGGAAUCCAUCCCCAGGCAGGCAGAAUUCGGUCUGAAGAUGCUCCCCAAGAGCACCUCAAAGAGCACCAGCAGGCCUUCCUCGGCAGGGACCUCCUUUAUCCAUGAGCGUUCUCUUCCCAGCCUCAUGUCCCACGGGUCCCUCCACUCUCUCCCUGAAGUCAGAUGGCGCUGGGGUUUCCCUGCGGGAACCACCCGCACAUUCGUGAGUGGAGAGAGUGCCAGCCGGGAGUCAGGCUCACUUGACUGAAGCUCCGCUUCCCUCGCUCCCCACCCACCCCUUCCGCGGCUCAGCCUGGAUCCCGCUGCUCGAUUCUCCAAGUGCCGCGUUCAUGCUGGAAGCCAGCGUUCCCCACAGUGUCUUCUGUGAAGACAAAUCCUGGGAGACGUUGGCGUUCCGGGAGAAGAAAUCGAUUCCUCAAAAAUAAGCAAAUUUUUAAUUUAAGGUGAUGUUUCAAGGAGACGUCGAUAUAUUAACGUGCUUUGCGAGUGUUUAAGAGGAAGGGGUGAAGGGCAGGGUUCUCCAAAGUUGUUGGCUACCUGGAGACCGUCUCGAGGAGUUGGACUAGAACUUGGUACUCACGAUGAUAAGCAGUGACAGGCCAGGCGCGGUGGCUCACGCCUGUAAUCCCAGCAUUUUGGGAGGCCGAGGCAGGUAGAUCACUUGAUGUCAGGAGUUGGAGACCAGCCUGGCCAACGUGGUGAAACUCUGUCUCUAUUAAAAAUACAAAAAUUAGCCGGGAGUGGUGGCGCACACCUGCAACCCCAGCUGCUCCGGAGGCUGAGGCAUGAGAGUAGUUUGAACCCGGGAGGCAGAGAUCGCAGUGAGUCCAAAUCGCGCCACUGCACUCUGGCCUGGGCGACAGUGAGACUCCAUCUCAAAUAAAUAAAUAAAUAAAAUAAGUAAAUAAAUAAAUAAAUAAAUAAACAAACAAACAAUGACAACAUUCCAUGCUCCAGGAACUGGUCUCGGUGCGGUACUGAAGAUUGAUUCAACGGUGAGAACGUCAAGCACGUACUAGUCUCCACGGGCUUACACUGUGGAGGAAAAAAUAUAAACAAACAAACAAAAAUAGCUAUAUUAUACAGCAGGAAGUGAGAAGUGACUAGAAGAAAAGUCAACCCAGAUAAGAAAAGGAAACAAUUAUAAUAGAACUUGAAUAUUUUAUAUCUUUUCUUUUUACACAUUUUGACAUUUAUUAUGAAAAUGUUGCAAGUUGAGAUAAAAUUAUAACAAAUCCCCAUAUGCUAAUUACUUUUUAAAUUAUCUUGUUUAAUCUAUAGACGCACCAUUCGUUUCCUGGUGUAUUUUAAAACAAAUUACAGACACCAUUCUAUUUUAAAUAAUAAAUGGUUUAGCAUAUAAAUCUAACAAAUAAUGACUUUUUGACACAAUUGCAGUGGAAUUAUGGCCUCUAAAACAUUAACGAUAAUUACUUAAUAGUACAGGUUGAUUCCUUGUCUGAAAUGUUCGGGAUCAGAAUUGUUUCAGAUUUCAGAUUUGUGGGGAUUUUAGAAUAUUUGCGUAUACAUAAUGAGAUAUCUUGGGGGCGAGACCUAAGUCUAAACACGAAAUUUAUUUGUCCUUCAUAUGCACCUUAUAUGCAUAGCCUGAAGAUAAUUAUGUAUUUUCACUAAUUUUGUGCAUGAAACAAAGGUUGUGGACACGAGGUCGCGUAUGAAUUUCUUUACUUGUGGUAUCAUGUAGGUACUCAAAAUUUUACAAAUUUGGAGCAUUUUGGACUUGAUUUUUGGAUUAGGGAUGCUCAACUUGCAUCUAAUACUCGGCUAGUAUUAUUUUAAUAAUUUGCUAAUCACCUCAAAAUGUCUUUUAUUAUAGCCAGUGUGUUAGAGUGCAAAAAAAUAAGUAUUCACAUUGCAUUUAGUUGAUAAAUCUCUUACGUCUUACUUGGAAGGCAUUUCCCUCCCCGCUGCCACCGAACCAUCGUUUCUUCAAUGAAAAGGCAGAUUUGUUUUUCCUGUGUUUUUUUCUCCCAUUGUGAUUGGCUGCCUGCAUGCUAGAACUUUUAUGUAACAUGUUCAUCUCUGUACCAUAUAUCUUCUGUCAAUUGGUAGAUAGACCUACAGCCUUCAUUAAAUUUGGCUUCAUUCUUUAGGCAAAAUUAAUUCAUUGACUGUGUUUGAACUUCUUGUUGCACUGUAUCUGGAGGCAGGUAUUAUGGUUGGCCAGCACGGUCCCAUGGUGCCAAUCUCAAUCCUCUUUCAAAAAAUUGCCUCAGCAUACUUUGCUGCUCCUGAUCUAGGAGCUACUGGUCUAGGAGCAAUUUUAUUCAGGCUUUCGGAGUUAUGAUUUUCAAUUUCUACUAUUUCUUCUGCAUAAUUAGCCAGAAUCUUUCUAUGCAGAAGAAACCCUUCUAAAGAUUACAGCACUUUGGGAGGCCGAGACGGGCAGAUCACGAGGUCAGGAUAUCGAGACCAUCCUGGCUAACACAGUGAAACCCUGUCUCUACUAAAAAAAAAAAAAAAAAAAAAAAAUUAGCUGGGCAUGGUGGCAGGUGCCUGUAGUCCCACCUACUUGGGAGGCUGAGGCAGGAAAAUGGCGUGAACCCGGGAGGCAGAGCUUGCAGUGAGCCAGGAUCGCACCACUGCACUCCAGCCUGGGCAACAG